AGCAGGCAGACUUGCCCACAGAACCCACAGCCUUCCCCUCUAUUUGUCCUCUUGCUCCUUCCUGCUAGGACAGCAGGGCUUCUUGUACACAUGCUGUAGCGGGCACUGCCUUGGCAGGAGGAUUUGGGGCUUCCACCUAUCCUGUUCUCAAGAUUGUAGCAUCUAAGUACUCUAGAGCCCAGUACCUGACAUCAAGGAUGUCUGGAGCUUCCUUUUAAGGAGAGAAAAGAUCAGCAAACUUGCCUGUUCCCGUUUACACUUCCACCACCAGUUCGUGAGAGUUCCUGUUCUGCAUCCUCAACACUAGUAUUAAGUGCACUGGCCUUUAGUCUGUUAGAAAGCAUGCAAUGGCUACAGAUGUUCAAUUGGCUGAGUAUCCACUGAUGAGCCCCAGAUCCCUUAGAGGGGAAUGGAGAAUGGAACAGGAAACUCAGGGGCCAAGUCAGUGGAGUCCUCAGAGGGUCUGGGGGCAGCACGCCUUGCUUAGCACAUCCAGAGUCCAUCUGUACUCCAAAAGGACUCCCUUCAGCCAGGGCCACCGUGAGAAGGGCAUGCAGACAGCGAUCAGUCCAAAGGCUGAGCUGAAACUGGAGAAGAAGUCAGGGUGCAAGCCAAGGAGCCCCAGGGACAGUGGGCCACAGAAAGAACUGGUGAUCCCAGGGAUUGUGGAUUUCGAGUGGAUCCGCCGGGCAUUGAGGACCCCAAAGCCCCAAACCCCUGGCACCUACUGCUUUGGACGCCUCAGUCACCACUCCUUCUUCUCCCGGCACCACCCACACCCCCAGCACGUGACCCACGUCCAAGAUCUCACCGGGAAGCCUGUCUGUGUCGUCAGGGAUUUUCCAGCCCCCUUGCCUGAGUCAACUGUCUUUUCCGGCCGUCAAAUGCGGAUACCCACCAUCUCUGUCCCCAUUGGAGACCCACAGUCUAAUCGGAACCCCCAGCUUUCUUCUGAAGCCUGGAAGAAGGAGUUGAAGGAGCUAGCUUCCCGGGUGGCCUUCACCAAGGAGGAUGAGCUGAAGAAGAAAGAGGAUACUACCAGUCUUAAUUGGAAUUGCAAGAGCAGGAGGCCACAGGCACCUGGCCUCUCUGGGACAGACCUGGGGGCAGCUGAGCUGGGAAUUAAGCAGAAGGAGCAGAAGGAGGAGCCUCUGCGGGAGCAGGGGGCAAAGUACUCAGCAGAGACUGGGAGGCUCAUCCCCACUUCCACCCGGGCUGUUGGCCGCCGCAGAUCUCACCAGGGCCAGCAGAGUCAGUCUUCCAGCAGAGAUGAAGGAGUCCAGGCCUUCCUCCUUCAGGAUCAGGAGCUGCUGGGCGGCCUCACCUCGCCUGGAAUUAGGUUCUCGGGUCCUGUGGGGAGGGGCACAGGGCAGGUCCUGGAGCUCCUGUGUCAGAUCCUGGAAACAGACUCGCUAAGCGCGAUCCAGUUCUGGCUGCUCUACGCUCCACCCAAGGAAAAAGACCUCGCUCUGGGACUCCUGCAGACAGCAGUGGCUCAGCUCCUUCCCCAGCCCCUAGUCUCCAUCCCUACAGAAAAGCUCCUAAACCAGCUUCAAGAAGUGCGUGAACCUCCUCAAGAGAAGCAAGAGCCACCCUGCAGUCAAUCCCCGAAGAAAACGAAGAUAACACCUUUUACAAAAAGCGAAAAACCAGCACCUACAAUGUGCUGAACUCUGGGGAUCAGUGAGGAAGAAUUCAGACAAGUUCCUGCUGUCACGGAACUUACAUCCCAGCAAGGAGGAAUACAGACAACAAAUUAAAACACCUGGGGAGGAGUGGCGACAGAUACUGUAAGGAGAAUAACAAGGCUCUGUGGUCAGUAGUGAGAAGGACUGGCAGGUGGGGAGAGGGCUCCUAGAGCUGAACGGCAGGAAAGAUACAGCUCUACCCAAGUCUAGGAAGAGCCAACCAGCAAAGCUCCCACCUCUUGGUGUGCUGGUGGAAAAGUUGGAUUCCCUCCUCGGUCACCAGCAGAGCUGAGAGCAGGAGCUGGGCUUGACUCAGACCUUCCCCUCAGCACUCACACAUCCACCUGCAGCUCCCAGGUGGGGGCCCCACCUUCCCGGUCCUCUCCUGCCUGCUGUCUCU
RNA transcript from Gorilla gorilla gorilla (western lowland gorilla), 2088 nucleotides. It is a transcript of the gene named thymus, brain and testes associated, with no coding region annotated. The transcript has 15 exons. NCBI's taxonomy places the organism in Eukaryota, Metazoa, Chordata, Mammalia, Primates, Hominidae. The record is from RefSeq and is a predicted model, not a curated record.